GACGAACGCUGGCGGCGUGCUUAACACAUGCAAGUCGAACGGAAAGGCCCCUUUGGGGGUACUCGAGUGGCGAACGGGUGAGUAACACGUGAGUAACCUGCCCUUGACUUCGGGAUAACUUCAGGAAACUGGGGCUAAUACCGGAUAGGAAUCCUUGCUGCAUGGUGGGGGUUGGAAAGCUUCGGCGGUUUUGGAUGGAGUCGCGGCUUAUCAGCUUGUUGGUGGGGUAGUGGCUUACCAAGGCUUUGACGGGUAGCCGGCCUGAGAGGGCGACCGGCCACAUUGGGACUGAGAUACGGCCCAGACUCCUACGGGAGGCAGCAGUGGGGAAUAUUGCACAAUGGGCGGAAGCCUGAUGCAGCAACGCCGCGUGCGGGAUGACGGCCUUCGGGUUGUAAACCGCUUUCAGCAGGGGCGAAGCUUGUGGUGACGGUACCUGCAGAAGAAGCACCGGCUAACUACGUG
This 465-nucleotide ribosomal RNA is filed under the name uncultured bacterium. Its description in RNAcentral is "partial 16S ribosomal RNA". It matches the Rfam family "Bacterial small subunit ribosomal RNA", at positions 28 to 507 of the family's 1533-position model. The record is from RNAcentral.